Molecule: non-coding RNA, 30 nt
Filed under: Homo sapiens (human)
Lineage: Eukaryota; Metazoa; Chordata; Mammalia; Primates; Hominidae
Source: RNAcentral
UGAGUGUGAUGGAGAAUCAUGAGAGAUGGC